Molecule: ribosomal RNA, 274 nt
Filed under: uncultured bacterium
Lineage: Bacteria
Description: partial 16S ribosomal RNA
Rfam family: Bacterial small subunit ribosomal RNA
Source: RNAcentral
AUACGGAGGGUGCAAGCGUUGUCCGGAUUUAUUGGGUUUAAAGGGUGCGUAGGUGGUUUUUUAAGUCAGUGGUGAAAGCCUACAGCUUAACUGUAGAGGUGCCAUUGAUACUGGGGAACUUGAGUAUGGACGAGGGAGGCGGAAUUUGUGGUGUAGCGGUGAAAUGCAUAGAUACCACAAGGAACACCGAUAGCGAAGGCAGCUUACUGGGCCAUAACUGACACUGAGGCACGAAAGCGUGGGGAGCGAACAGGAUUAGAAACCCUAGUAGUCC